Molecule: long non-coding RNA, 405 nt
Organism: Triticum dicoccoides
Lineage: Eukaryota; Viridiplantae; Streptophyta; Magnoliopsida; Poales; Poaceae
Exons: 3
Source: RefSeq, a predicted model, not a curated record
CUUCGGAAGAUGCCAGUAUAACAGUUGACAAGGGAACUAAUGCUUGCACUGUCAUUAAAAUUGCUAGAGCUGCUGCGCAAAAAGUUAGGAAGGUACUUAAAGAGAAGGAAGACAAUUCACAAAGAAUUGGGAAACAGUUUUGUCAGCAAACACAUCGAGGCAUCUGAACAAAUUGUCACAACUACAUGAAGACAGGGACCUGCAAAUUUGGAUCCACAGGGGCGCAACGGGUCAUAAUCUGUCGCAGAUAAGAUAUGUUGCAGAUCACCUUAACGAUGCAACUUGACAAUUAGAGCACAUUCUACAGGAAACAAGCAGGUAUUAUAUGGGGUCAUUUAUGCUUUUGGUAGCCCACUAGACACACCCACCAUGAAGAGCUUCUUUGACAAUAAAGUCGUUUUUUAU